RNAcentral lists this unclassified non-coding RNA (226 nucleotides) under Hevea brasiliensis (rubber tree). The record is from RNAcentral. Lineage: Eukaryota; Viridiplantae; Streptophyta; Magnoliopsida; Malpighiales; Euphorbiaceae.
CACUUCUGGUCUUCUUGUGCCUCAAAUAAGAAUAGGAAUGUGCUUCUCAAAAUUUUGUUGGAAAGUUGAAGAGCACCACUUGUACUCACUCUGUUACAUGCAUCUGGGUGCCCCUAAAAUAUGGUAUGGCAUCCCAGGGAGGCAUAAUGUUAAGUUUAAGGCUCUUCUGAAGAAACAGCUUCCAGAUAUGUUAGCGGAACAACCUAAAUUGCGGGACAGGCUGGCC